Molecule: ribosomal RNA, 386 nt
Filed under: uncultured Rhizophydiales
Lineage: Eukaryota; Fungi; Chytridiomycota; Chytridiomycetes; Rhizophydiales
Description: partial small subunit ribosomal RNA
Rfam family: Eukaryotic small subunit ribosomal RNA
Source: RNAcentral
GCUUGUCUCAAAGAUUAAGCCAUGCAUGUCUAAGUGUAAAUAAGUCUAUACUGUGAAACUGCGAAUGGCUCAUUAAAUCAGUUAUCGUUUAUUUGAUGAUCUCUUACUACUUGGAUAACCGUAGUAAUUCUAGAGCUAAUACAUGCACAAAAUCCCGACUUACGAAGGGAUGUAUUUAUUAGAUACAAACCAACAUCGUGGUGAUUCAUAAUAACUUUGCGAAUCGUAUGCCUCACGGCGACGAUGAAUCAUUCAAAUGUCUGCCUUAUCAACUGUCGAUGGUAGGUUACGCGCCUACCAUGGUUGCAACGGGUAACGGGGAAUCGGGGUUCGAUUCCGGAGAGGGAGCCUGAGAAACGGCUACCACAUCCAAGGAAGGCAGCAGG